This is a long non-coding RNA of Gossypium raimondii (Peruvian cotton), 591 nucleotides long. RefSeq lists it as uncharacterized. The transcript is spliced from 3 exons. NCBI's taxonomy places the organism in Eukaryota, Viridiplantae, Streptophyta, Magnoliopsida, Malvales, Malvaceae. The record is from RefSeq and is a predicted model, not a curated record.
GGACCUCAUUGAGGACUUGAUCAGUUCCUUUGGUGUUCCCAACCUUUGCACGUUUGAUUGCUGUUACAGUUCCGUCAUCAAGAAUGCCCCUGAAGACCUCACCAAAACCUCCAGAUCCUACAAGAUUCUUCUGCGUUUCUUUCUUUAUGCGCCGGUGUUGCUUGUAAACUAUAAUUCCGAUCAUUAUAGCAAGCGAAAGUCCUCCCAGUACAGCCGUUAUACCUGAAAAGAAAUAAAAAAACAUACAGUCACCAUCACAAUCACUACUUGGCAGGCAUACAUCAAAUAAGAGGUCGGCACAUACCACCAAUGAGCACUAUCUGCUUCUUUUGUUUUUUGCAGCGUUUCCCUGGUCGGCAUUUCGUACCUAAAUGAAUAGAAGACAGUAUCUUAAUGCUUAUGGCCGCAUGGAAUAGUAAGAACUGUUCUUUAGCCAUUUUUGCCGGUUUCAAGAGGAUCCCAGGUAAAUCCUUUGUUGCACAAGCACCUGGUUGUUCCAACAUUUGCUGGAUCGGCUAAGCACUUGGAAUGAAACAAGUUCUUGCAAUCCAUAGGUGCCUUGCAAGCCGGUUCUAGUGGCAAUGCCCACUC